AGCGAACGCUGGCGGCAGGCUUAACACAUGCAAGUCGAGCGGGCACUUUCGGGUGUCAGCGGCGGACGGGUGAGUAACGCGUGGGAACGUGCCCUCUGGUUCGGAAUAACUCAGGGAAACUUGAGCUAAUACCGGAUACGCCCUUUUGGGGAAAGGCUUGCUGCCGGAGGAUCGGCCCGCGUCUGAUUAGCUAGUUGGUGAGGUAACGGCUCACCAAGGCGACGGUCAGUAGCUGGUCUGAGAGGAUGAUCAGCCACACUGGGACUGAGACACGGCCCAGACUCCUACGGGAGGCAGCAGUGGGGAAUAUUGGACAAUGGGCGCAAGCCUGAUCCAGCCAUGCCGCGUGAGUGAUGAAGGCCUUAGGGUUGUAAAGCUCUUUUAUCCGGGACGAUAAUGACGGUACCGGAGGAAUAAGCCCCGGCUAACUUCGUG
Molecule: ribosomal RNA, 435 nt
Filed under: uncultured bacterium
Lineage: Bacteria
Description: partial 16S ribosomal RNA
Rfam family: Bacterial small subunit ribosomal RNA
Source: RNAcentral